Long non-coding RNA from Choloepus didactylus (southern two-toed sloth), 954 nucleotides. RefSeq lists it as uncharacterized. The record is from RefSeq and is a predicted model, not a curated record. Lineage: Eukaryota; Metazoa; Chordata; Mammalia; Pilosa; Megalonychidae. The transcript is spliced from 4 exons.
GUGUGUGUUGAGUGUAAGUGUGUAUGUGCGUGUGUAGAGGUGGGGGGGGUGUCCGUGUUUGUGAUCUGAACCUUUGGUACCUACAAGAGCGAGUCUCACCGAACAGUAGCUAAAACCUCACCAGAAUCGCGCGGAAGUGAGGAGUCGCCGCCAAAGGCGCCCGCCGGAGCCUCCUCUCGGGGCCGGACCCCAGUACCAGCAGCCGAAAGGAGCCCCCCGCCCGGAUCACAGGCUGCCAUGAAGAUAAGGAUAUAGGCAACUGCAGUUUGCUAGCAUCUAUAAUGGAGAAAACAGGUGUCAUCUUAUGGAAAUGCUGGUUCUUGAGCUUAACUCUGAUGUUCUGUAUGCCAAGCAAAUAGGAGCUGAAUAAAUCUAUGGUGCUGACUUUCUCACAUUGAACUGUUGCUCUCUGAAUGUAACCUCAUGAUAGAAUUAAAAUGGAAAAUCAUACGGAAUAAGAAAUAGCCAUAGUGGGACAACCAUUGUACUCCGGAGGAAAUCCUCACUCACAGUCCUUUCCAAAAUUGUUUUUAUCAUGUGGCCUUAGGUUUCCAAUCUUUGAACUUCUCCUGGGACAUGGGGACUGACCCCAAAGACAAAAAUCUGCAAAAGUCAAAUACUGGGGAAACUCCCAUGAAAGUGGGAAUCUUUGGCAGUUGACAAUACUACAGGAAUGUAAUGCAGCAUGGCAAAUAUUGAUGUGUUUCAUGAUUUUGCGAGUACUGUUUCAAGGAAGUUAAUACGUGAGAUGGAGGGAAGGUAGCUCUACUGAUAAAUCUACUGAAAAAUUUCUCCUUGCUUUUAACUUCAGGGAGAGAAAGGGGGAUAUCAAAGGAGUUGAGAAUAGAGAUAAAACCAAACAGCUGCAUCCUGAGUUGGUAAAAAUUGUACCAUGUCUGUGCCAGUUUGAAUGUACUGUGCCCCCCAAAUGCCAUUAUCUUUCAUGUAGUCUUG